This 252-nucleotide ribosomal RNA is filed under the name uncultured bacterium. RNAcentral describes it as "partial 16S ribosomal RNA". It matches the Rfam family "Bacterial small subunit ribosomal RNA", at positions 524 to 776 of the family's 1533-position model. The record is from RNAcentral.
UACGGGGGGGCAAGCGUUGUUCGGAAUUACUGGGCGUAAAGGGUUCGUAGGUGGCCAACUAAGUCAGACGUGAAAUCCCUCAGCCUAACUGGGGAACUGCGUCUGAUACUGGUUGGCUUGAGUGCAGGAGAGGAACGCGGAAUUCCAGGUGUAGCGGUGAAAUGCGUAGAUAUCUGGAGGAACACCGGUGGCGAAGGCGGCGUUCUGGACUGUUACUGACACUGAUGAACGAAAGCCAGGGGAGCAAACGGG